RNAcentral lists this transfer RNA (85 nucleotides) under Gammaproteobacteria bacterium. RNAcentral's name for it is "tRNA-Leu". It matches the Rfam family "tRNA". From Rfam's summary of the family: Transfer RNA (tRNA) molecules are approximately 80 nucleotides in length. Their secondary structure includes four short double-helical elements and three loops (D, anti-codon, and T loops). Lineage: Bacteria; Pseudomonadati; Pseudomonadota; Gammaproteobacteria. The record is from RNAcentral.
GCCCGGGUGGUGAAACUGGUAGACACAAGGGACUUAAAAUCCCUCGGCUUAGGCUAUACGGGUUCGAUUCCCGUCUCGGGCACCA